AUUUCUUUAUUAAUUUUUAAUAAAUAAUUUAUAUUAAAUAUAAAAAUAUAUUUAUACUAAAAAAAGACGACAAGACCCUAUUAAAUUUUACUUAUAGUUUAGCUGGGGAAGCUUUUCAAUUAAAAUUUUUUAAAUUAAAAUAAAUAAAAAUCUAAUAAAAUUAAAUUUUAAUAAAUUACUAUAGGGAUAACAGCAUUAUAUUUUUUAAAAGUUCAUAUUAAAAAAAAUGAUUGUGACCUCGAUGUUGAAUUAUAUUUUCUAUAUUUAAUGCAAUAAUUAUAUAAGUAGAUCUGUUCGAUCUUUAAAAUAUUACAUGAUUUGAGUUCAAACCGGUGUAAACCAGGUUGGUUUCUAUCUUUUUAUAUAUUUUUCUAGUACGAAAGGACAAAAAAAUUUUUAUUCUAAUAAAUUAGCAAAUAUAUGCAUUAGAUUUAGAAUCUAAAUAUAAUUAAGAAU
This 456-nucleotide unclassified non-coding RNA is filed under the name Anelosimus vierae. RNAcentral's name for it is "partial contains 16S ribosomal RNA and tRNA-Leu (trnL)". The stretch from base 61 to 360 matches the Rfam family "Bacterial large subunit ribosomal RNA", at positions 2074 to 2646 of the family's 2925-position model. The record is from RNAcentral. Lineage: Eukaryota; Metazoa; Arthropoda; Arachnida; Araneae; Theridiidae.